This 3529-nucleotide long non-coding RNA is filed under the name Citrus x clementina. RNAcentral describes it as "Citrus clementina (C. clementina) long non-coding RNA (CCLE_LNC000752)". The record is from RNAcentral. Lineage: Eukaryota; Viridiplantae; Streptophyta; Magnoliopsida; Sapindales; Rutaceae.
CCCAUUCGAAAUUGAAAAAUGCAAAUCAUUGUUCCUUACAUCAAUAUGAUAGAAUGUUUGGAGCUUAAAUCAUUAAAAAUCAAAUGAUUACAAACGGAGGAUUAUUCUAAAAGUAUUUUAGAACCAAGAAAAUUGCAAACAUAGCUAGCAAGUAUAUAGCUACAAAAAGGUAUUCCACUUCAGGUUAAUAAUGAUUGCAGGCGAGAAGUUUUAGGAUAAAUAGUAAGUUCAUUGCAAAGAACCAAAAAAAAUGGGGAGCCGAAUCUCCAGUCUAGGAAAAUAUACAUGGGAGCAUUAAAAAAUGACAAUAAGAGUUAAUAUCUAAACUAUAACUUACCAAUAAACUCUAAAGAUCCCUGAAAAUGUAGAGCAAGAUAAACUGCAUACCACUAAAACAUAUCUACAAGAUCCACACUUGAUACUAGAUGCAUAUCUAAACCCUCAAAAAUCCACAAUUCUUAUCAAGCCAUGCACCCAGAGGAACAUUUGAACUAUCAUCCACACAAGAAAAUCAAACCUCUUCCUUCAAUUCUCAUUCGAUUUGAAUACAAGUCCAUCCACGUUUGUAUGACCCAACAAAUAUCCAAAACAGAAAGAAAAUGAAGAAGAAAAAGAAGCAUAGACCUUCAACACAAUUGGAUUAAGAAGAGGACGAGAAAUGAUGUACAAAAUCAAUGGUUUCCCCAUCCUGUUUCAAAUAUAACGCAGAGUAAUCACAAAUUGCUUACUCUUUACUAAAAGGAAACUCUAAAACAGUUCCAAGAAAAAAUUGUAGUUCCACUCUUACUUAAAGAUAUGAAUAAAGAAUUGAACUCAAACUAGGUUGCUCCUGAAGGUUUUCAACUAAAACUUUCCUCUGACUCAAAGUCAUGCGAAAGGAUAUUCCCUUCCCCUCUGUGAAACUUCAAUUUAAUGCUUUCAAUUAGAUCUUCAUACUCCAAAGGGUAGUUGCUAUACAUAAUUAGAUCAAUUAAAUAUUUGCCAAUAUCUCACUACUCCAACAUCCAUAUAGGCCCAACAGUGCACAACACUACAACAUUUCACUCACUAUGCUCAUAAACCAUCAACAAAACCUCAAAGUAACAGUAGGUUCUUUUAUACAAAAUGGUUGACCUAGACAUCACUGUCAUGAUUUUUGCCAGUGAACUGCCAAAGGUACCAGAAAUUACCUUAUUCAAUAAUGACACAUAUUCAAACAAACCAGUCACAAGGAUAGGAGAUGGAGGAAAUAUGAAACUUGACAGCACUACAACAUUUCACCCACUAUGUUUAAAAAAUCCUGCAUUUUCAUGCCUAUACACUAAUUAUUAAUCUGAUGUCUAUUGAUUCACAUAUAUUUCUCUAUCAAAAUCUAAAUCACCUGAUGAAAGUUUCUUUCUAUCAGUUGCAUAAUUAUUAACAUAUCAAUUUUCAUAACAUAAUAUAUUCCCAAUUUCUACUUCUUCCUCCCAAUUUCUAUUUUACAACCAAACCUAACAUUCUAUGCCUAUUUUUACUUGUUCAUGCGUACCCAAUCAAUUACCGUCUACUAUUUAUACACAUGGACUCAAAUUAAGAGCCACAUAUAAAUAUUCACAGUCAAUACAUACCUCAAUGUCGUAUUAAGACUCCUGCAGACAACUGAUUGCUACGAAAUUGCGAGCAAAUAUGACCUCCAAAUAUAACUCUCCACAGAAUUCGCUACAGUUUAUCUCUGCUCACUUUACUCCAGCACCACUCAAAUGGUUGUUUUUUAACCUACAUGACAGCAAAUGACGACAACUUCUAACCUAACGGCGUAACUUAUUCAUCAAUUAAAUCCCCAGUUUGCGCCACAAUACCCGUAAUCUGCUUUCUACCCACUCACCCUCUAAUUCAAUAAUUUUUUUUCCAAACCCCAACCUAAGAAAACUAACUGGCCCACUAAUUCAAGCUUCUAAAAACAGUAUGAAUAUCACUGCACACUUCAGCCGUGGGGAGAAAGACGGUCAUUACAAUUUCUUUUUUGUUUUACUGGUACUAUUCUUCUACCCGGUUACCCAUUUUCAAACUGUUAAAUCUCAACCAUCAAGUGUAUUUGCUACCAAUUCGCUAUAGGACAAAAGACUGGGGUAUCAAACCCCUGACGCAAAGUAGCUGGACCCAUUAGUUUAAUAUAUAAUUAAAUCAUAUAUUAACUACAUACAAUAUUUUAUGAUAAAUGUGAAUAUGAAUUUAAUCUCUUAUUGUUAGAUUGUAGUUAAUAUAUAUUUUUUCAAAUUACUUGUUCAAUAUACAGUCAAUAGUUCCAAUAUAUAAUAAAAAUAUAUUAAUUUACCAAUUACUUAUGUGUGUUUUUUCAAUUGUUUAAUAAGAAUGUAUCAAAAAGUGGAGUGCUUUUCAUUUAUUUUUACAUCUAAGAGUUUGAUGAACAAGUUUAGAAGUUCUUUAACAAGAAUUUAGAGUUAAAAAAGCCACUUUAUACUUCACACUUAUUCAGUAACUUUUUCCACGUCUCAGGUUCAAUAACUUUUGAGUUAGGGAUAGAAUUCAAUAUUGUUAAUUGGUAGAGAUAUGGAGCGGAAUCCAGUGGGCAUGUAAACAAUUUAACCAAUUUUUUUUUAUAUUAUCUUAUAUUAAUUUAUUUGGUAAGAAUAAAAAAUUAUUUUAUAAAUGCUAUACUUAACAUUCAGGUAGAUGUAUAGAGUAAAUUUUCUUUUUAAAAUUUUGAUGAUGAGUGUAUGAAUUAAUAAUUAAAAAAAUAACCUACCCUUUGAUUUAAGUUUGAAAAUUAAAACAAGUCAAAAUUUAGGACUUUCUGACUGUUUUUUAAUUUUAUAAUAAAACAUAGAUUUGCAGUGUAAUUAAUUUAGAAAGAGACAAAAAUAUGGAGUAUGUUACCACUGUAGUAAGAUAGCUGGAAGCAUAUAAUUGAUAUUUCUCUUGUACAUCACUGAUGAUAUCGUAUUGUUCCCCUUUUAUCGCCUUAUCACGUGCAUAUCUGUUCUUUCACCCAAUCUUUUGUCGCAUAGUAAAAUAACAUAAAUUCAUUCGUAUAAACAUUUGACUCUAUAACCCAAAAAUCGUUUAACCCCAAAAUUUUAAGCCAACAGAUUAGUACUUUUUUUUUUUUUUUUUUGUUAAAGGAAAUAGAUAAGUACAUUAAGAUAAAAACAUCACGUAAUUAUAAAGUAGUGCAAAAUAUGAUUAUUAUGAAGCUUUUCAUUUACGACAAGUGCUUUGAGUCAGAACUUCCAAUCAAUACUCUACACGUGUCCAUCAUGACUCCACCAAUUCUACCUUCUCAUUUGCCGUUGCCGUCUUCUCCACUAAUUCCUUAACUCUGUGGACUGACUUCGACUUGCUGCUGGUUAUAAUCUCGACACUUCUCCUUCUUACUUCAUCAACGAAAGCCUGAAUGUUCGUAUCCGACGAGCCACCAUCGGCCACAGCUUCCUCCGCCUCCUUCUUCCACUUCAGCGCGUUCUCCUUCAGCUCCGCCUCCUUAGGUCCGGCCGUGGCCUCGAGCAAGCACUUCUCCACUUCAUCCCUUGAAAUUAUCCUGUUCUCU